This 506-nucleotide ribosomal RNA is filed under the name uncultured bacterium. Its description in RNAcentral is "partial 16S ribosomal RNA". It matches the Rfam family "Bacterial small subunit ribosomal RNA", at positions 30 to 523 of the family's 1533-position model. The record is from RNAcentral.
AUUGAACGCUGGCGGCAUGCCUUACACAUGCAAGUCGAACGGUAACAGGAAGCAGCUUGCUGCUUCGCUGACGAGUGGCGGACGGGUGAGUAAUGUCUGGGAAACUGCCUGAUGGAGGGGGAUAACUACUGGAAACGGUAGCUAAUACCGCAUAACGUCGCAAGACCAAAGAGGGGGACCUUCGGGCCUCUUGCCAUCGGAUGUGCCCAGAUGGGAUUAGCUAGGAGGUGGGGUAACGGCUCACCUAGGCGACGAUCCCUAGCUGGUCUGAGAGGAUGACCAGCCACACUGGAACUGAGACACGGUCCAGACUCCUACGGGAGGCAGCAGUGGGGAAUAUUGCACAAUGGGCGCAAGCCUGAUGCAGCCAUGCCGCGUGUAUGAAGAAGGCCUUCGGGUUGUAAAGUACUUUCAGCGGGGAGGAAGGCGAUAAGGUUAAUAACCUUGUCGAUUGACGUUACCCGCAGAAGAAGCACCGGCUAACUCCGUGCCAGCCGCCGCGGUAA